RNAcentral lists this long non-coding RNA (3153 nucleotides) under Homo sapiens (human). RNAcentral's name for it is "non-protein coding lnc-ARMCX4-3:1". Lineage: Eukaryota; Metazoa; Chordata; Mammalia; Primates; Hominidae. The record is from RNAcentral.
UCACACAGCGCCCCGCCCCGCCCCAGUACAUUUCCUUUCAGGGAAAGGGACAGGGAAGAGGCUGUCGGGAAAUGGCGGCCGCGGCCGGGCUGGGGCUUCAGCGGGAGGCAGCAGAGGGGAAGUGGUCAGCGUGGCGAAUGACGGAAGAAACUCGCAUUGUCUACUGGAUCAAGGACAGACAGCUCACCAACCGUGACAGCACCAUACUGGAACUUCAAAAAGUUCUGAAAACAUGUUGGUUCGUUUGUUGGAGUAUUUUUCAACUUAAAUUCCUUUUCCUUUUUUUUUUUUUUGCUCACUUUUUCCUCUGCAGAAAAACCUUAAAAUGUUCUACCUUUUCCUUGAAACCUCCUCCCACUCCUUAGUUCACAUUGACUUGUCUUUAAAUGUUUUUGAGAAAAUAAUCAGAAAUGCACAAUUAGUGCUUGGUGGUUCUCAAAUUAUUUCACGCGUGGUAGUUUUGAUUUUUGCUUUUCCAGUGAGGCUGUACCUUUCAUCCUUAGGCAAAUAUGAUGGCUUUCAAAAGCAGCUAUGGGGUGGGAACUGGGAGUGGCUGCAAAUGGGCAUGGAGCGUCUUUUAGAGAUAACGAAAAUGUCCCAACUUAGAUUGUGGUGAUAGUUCGCACAACUCUAUAAAUUACUAAAAACUAUUGAAUUUGCACUUGAAAAGGGGGAGAACUUUAUGAAAUAUAAAUUAUAACUCAAAGAAGCUCUUAAAAUGCCUAUGGAAUAAUAAGUAAAGAGUAGUGGGGAUAUGAUCUAUUUUGUGGGGAGACUAGCAGCAAAGUAAGACAUAAAGAUAAAGAAACAUACACUGGCCUGAGGAAGUAACAAAGUCUCUUUGAGCAAACUUUGGACAGGCUCCUCUCAGCUUUCUUUUCAACUACACCUUGUCCUUGGGCCCUGUCCUCGGCCUGCCUAGCCCAGUUUUAGCAAGAGUCCUGCUGAGUAACUCCCUCACCCUUGAUACCUGAUCACCUUGUCCUGCCUUGAGCGAGAAUCCUGUUUAGUCAGUUGAGCAAGAAUCCCCCUACCCUUGAUAUCUCUCUCCCCUUAGGAAUUUUCUUUCUACUGACUCCCUCACUCUGCUGCUUGACUGUAAAUCCACACUUGUCCUAGUUGUCUUUGGAUUGAGCUUAGUUCUAUACUGAAGUCUCUUUUCCUCUAUUAUAAUAGUACUCAAAAUAUGGCUUUACUGCUUUUGACUAGUAUCUGGCUCUGUUUCCCAUUGGCGGAAGGCACUCUCAGACAGUGCUUCUAGUAGUAUAUAUUAGCAUGACCUGCCAGGGUACAAUUCUUUUUAAAAAGACCACCAAUUGGCUGGAUGCAGUGGCUCACGCCUGUAAUCCCAGCACUCUGGGAGGCCGAGGCGGGUGGAUCAGGUCAGGAGUUCGAGACGAGCCUGGCCAACAUGGUGAAACCCCCAUCUCUACUAGAAAUACAAAAAUUAGCUGGGCAUGGUGGUGUGCGCCUGUAAUCCCAGCUACUUGGGAGGCUGAGGCAGGAGAAUCACUUGAAUGCAGGAGGCGGAGGUUGCAAUGAGCCAAGAUUGUGCCACUGCACUCCAGCUUGGGUGACAGAGUGGGCCUCCGUCUCAAAAAAAAACAAAAACAAAAAAAAGACCACCAAUUUAUUGCCAGGCAUUGUACUGGGUGCUGAGGAAAUUUGAGGAAAAACACCUAUUAAGUUCCUGUCCUCAAGGAGCUCAUAGUACAGUGGGGAGCCAAGUAGCAAGCAAAUAGCCAUGCAAGUGUAUAAUUGCAAUGAGGACAAGUAUCAUGAAAAGGAGGGUACAUGGUGCAAUGAGAGCCUAUAAAAUAGGGGUAUUCGACUAGUCAAGGUGGUCAGGAAUUGCUUCAAAGAAGCAGUUAUUGAGCUGAGAGUUAAAGGAAGAAUAGUGGCUAAUUAGAUUGGAGGUGAGAGUUGGAGGAGCUGGUUUGAGGCUAUGUGUUCAGAGAUGGCAUGGUGAGUAAAAGAGACUGAAUGAAAGUGGCUGGAGUUCAACAGGCAGUUGGGACAGCAGUGUGUUGGGUCAGGGCAUGCAGGGCCUUACAAGCCAUCUUAAGCCAUUCAGUCUAUAUCCUAAGAGCCAUUGGAAGCCCUGUGGGAUGGGGAGAACGAAUCAGAUUUGUCUUUGAAAAUAUUGCCCUGGGGGCCAGGCACAGUGGCUCAUGCCUGUAAUCCCAGCACUUUGGGAGGCUGAGGCAGGUGGAUCACCUGAGGUCGGGCAUUCGAGACCAGCCUGGCCAACCAACAUGGUGAAACCCCGUCUCUACUAAAAAUACAAAAAGUUAGCCGGGCAUGGUGGUGCAUGCUUGUAAUCCCAGCUACUCGGGAGGGUGAGGCAGGAGAAUCGCUUGAACCCGGGAGGCAGAGGUUGUGGUGAGCUGAGAUCGCGCCAUUGCACACCAGCCUGGGCAACAAGAGCAAAACUCUGUCUCAAAAAAAAAAAAAAAAAAAAAGAAAGGAAAAGAAAAUAUUGCCCUGGCUACAGUGUGGAUAAAGGAUUGGGAAGGAGUCAGAAUGUAUGGAGAGUUUUAUUAGAAGCCAUUUCAACAAUCUAGAGUAGAGGUAAUAGUAGCUUGUACUACAAUAGCCAUGGUUUACAUGGAGGGGAUUGGUAUAUUUUAGGGUUUCUUAGGAGGUAAAAUCUGCAGGACUUGGCAAUGGAUUGGAAUUGGGAGGGAGGGAGUGUGAUAUUGUGAAGUACACAUUUAGUCUUUAGUUUGUUUUGUGCUGCUAUAACAAUACCCGAUAGUGGGUAAUUUAUAAACAGAAAUUUAUUGCCUUACAGUUCUGGAAGAUAGGAAGUCUAAGGUUAAGGUGUGGGCAGGUUUGGUGUCUGGUGAGGCCAUUCUCUUUUUCCAAGAUGGUCCCUGCACACACUGUGUCCUCCAGAGGGGAGGAAGGCUAGAUCAUGACAUGGCAGAAGACAGAAAGAAGGGCCAAGAGAUAGAGCAAGAGGAGACCGAUCUUGCCCUUUUAUAAUGGCAUUAAUCCCACCUGUGAGGGUAGAGCCCUCAUGGCUUAAUCACCUCUUAAAAGUCUCACCUCUUAAUACUAUUACUGCAACCGCCCAGUGGGUUCACCUUGCCUGCUGCCUAGACAGAGAUUUAUCAAGACAGGAGAGUUGAAAUGAAGAAAGAGUAAUUC